This is a long non-coding RNA of Choloepus didactylus (southern two-toed sloth), 2904 nucleotides long. RefSeq lists it as uncharacterized. The transcript has 3 exons. The record is from RefSeq and is a predicted model, not a curated record. NCBI's taxonomy places the organism in Eukaryota, Metazoa, Chordata, Mammalia, Pilosa, Megalonychidae.
GGGGCGCACCUGCGGGCCUAGGCGUGCAGGCAGCUCGAGGGCAUCCUGGCAGCCUCCCGACUCCAGCGAGUCUGGGCCGCGGCUGGCGGGGGGAAGCGGUUUCUUCUUACAGAGAUUCCUAUUUGAGGGAAUUCUGUUGAUUUUAAACAGAAGGAGAAAAGCCCAGCAUCGAAUGCAGCGUUGGCUUUAAAGGUCAGUGGGAGACACUGGCCUGACCAGGCUGCUUCUCCUGGAAACAACGUGGAAAGCAUCAACUUUGCAUGUCUGAAGAUGAUUGGGAAACUGAAAUGGAUUUUUGGGAGCUGUGAAUUCUUUGACUCUUGGGAUUAUGAUUUAAGGUUUUCUGUGAAAGGGGAACUCCCAGAAACCCUAAUGCCCUGACACUAGGUGAUGGAAUAUGAGCCCAGGGAAAGCCUCUGCCCCUGAAGGCUGAGUGAAGGCCCCAUCUCUGGGAUCACUCUGAUUAGGAAAGACCAUGAAAGAAUAAUCUCAUUUUGAUACUGACACUCUAGCAGAGUUUCCAACAUGGAUUUGCAGAAUUCAUUCCUUUGUUGCUGGAAAGCUGGAGAAGCCAUACACUUUUCCCCUCAGGGAGAUAUCGUUAUUCAGGGAACCCUGUAGCUAACUAAAGGGGGAAAAAAAUCACUCUAAUGGUCUCCCAAGGGAAUUCCAGUGGCUCAAGUCCUCCACCAGCUGGUCUGUAGCCCCUGAGAUGUAACAGUAGUCACAAGAACAAAGACCUUUUUUGAUAAACCUGUGAGAAAAAAGUUAUAUUGCUGCAGAACUCAGUUGAAUAAAUUCUGUAAGGAAAACAAGGGCCUAAGAAUAGCAAAACAAUACAGUAAAAGGAAUAUAAUAAUAAAUUGAUUUAAAUAAAGUCUGUUCCAACUCUCUUCCAGAGUCAGGAAUGGAGUAUUUGCUGCAUGGUAAAUCAUUUAUUCAUCCCUGUGUUUCUUGGGAAGCCAAAGUGCUACUGGCAAGAAGAACAUGACCCAUUUUUGGUUCCAUAUCAUAAAUGUGGUAACAUGAUCUGAUUAGGCUUGGGUAAUAUUUUAAAAUAUUCAAGAACAAAUUAAUAUGUUACUACUUAACUUUGAAUUUAAGUAAAUAUGUUUAACAUAAUGAAGAAACCCUUUCUCCAAUCUGCCCUGGGGCUUUCAUCAACACAUGCUGCUUUUUUUAAUGUUAAGUCUUUUUAAGGACCUUCAAGAAGCUUUAAUUAGAUAUACUGCCUUCUACAGAAUGACAAGAUGGAACAUGCCUGCUUUAUUACAGUCCCUGUGAUUCAGAUCUCAAAGAUAACAUAAUGCCACCAUUCAAGGAAGAAGUUGUUUAUUGGAAGGAAACUAAGGAGAUGCUGCAUAUUAGAUCAAGGUGUGAAAAGUGAGCAGAUUAAUGAAAGAAUUGCCAUUUUCAUCUUGGAAUCCCCCAAAGCAGCAUGUAUAAUGUGGUCAUCUUCUCUAAAUACUGAUAGUUUUCAUAAUUUAUGAAAAAUUAAAAGAAAUAUAUUUAGAACAACAGAUGUUAAGUAUUCGUGUACGUUCAGUCUUGAGUUGUGACUUUAUAUUAAUGUGGUUUCCUUUUAGCUAUUUAAUUAGUCAUUUUGUACAUUGAUAUCUGUGCAUUUCUGUUUCCUGGCUUCAUCCCACUAGGAUCAAAAUAAAACUUCAUUGGAAGAGCCUAAAGAGUUCCUCAAAGACUUUCCCUCACCACUCCCUUGGCAUCAGUUAGCAUCUCACUCUUUUAUCUCAGACUCAGUUAUGGCCCAGUGUGUGUGUGUGUGUGUGUGUCAAACAAGGAGUGAAAAUGCCUUAAAUCUCUUAAUUCUGCUUUUUUGCAACCUCUGAACUAGGAGACAUUGUUGGCAUUGCCUAUAGUUAAACCCCAACUCCCACCACUAAGAGCUACGACCUUGAGGAAGUUGCUUAACUUUCUAUUUGUUUCCAUGUCUAUAAAAUGGGAAUGAUGGUGAUGAUGUGGUGCUGAUAAUGGUGCCUUUUUUAUUGGUUUCAUGUAACGCAGUGCUUCUCAAAGUGUGUUACUUGGGUCAGCUGCAUCAGCAUCUCUUGGGAAAUUUAAUUAUGAAAAAUUAAAAGAAAUAUAUUUAGAACAACAGAUAUUAAGUAUUCAUGUACAGUUCCAUACCAGAUCCACUGAAUCAGAAACUCUGGUUUCUCCCUUUUAAGAAGACUUCCAAGAAAUUAUAUAAACAAACAAAAAUUAAAUUUAAAAUAAAAUACAAAUAAAAAGAAAAAAAAGAGAAAACGACUUCCAGAUGAUUCUGAUGCAAACUCUAGAGUUUGAGAACCACUGUUGAUGGAUUGAGUUUAUAGAAAGCAUUAGAGCCAUGCCUGGCACACAUUAAACAGUAUAUUUAUGGAUAUAUUUAAAUGAGUGCAAUAUGAUGCUGUUGAGGUAUGCAAAGUUUAAUUUAGUCCAAAAGAAGCAUGUCCGCGCUGUUCCUCCAACAAAUCCUGCUUAAUCCCUUGCCCGAAGGCUUUAAGGUAGCUUGCCAAGUCCUUCAUGAUCUGGUGCCUGCCUUCCUUUCCAGCUCUUUUAAUUCCUCUAUGUACACCAUGUCUCCAGCCUUCCCAGUUCUCAGAAAGGGAAUGGCUUUCUCACAUCUUCAAGCCUUUGCCCAUUCUGUACCUCGGCCUAGAAACAUCACCCAUCCCUUUUCUCCACUUCCUACUCUUGCAGUCUCUUGAAUUCCUACUUAUCCUUCAAAAUCCAGUGUCACCUCCUCUGUGAUGCCCCCACCCCUGUCCAGUCAGAGCCAAGAGUUCUCUGGGAUACCAUACCUCCCUGCACAUCCCACUUACAGUACUUAACCAUAGGAUUUUGUGACUAUUUACAUUUGUAUUUGUUCCCAUUGGAUCUUAAACCCCUGGAGGUCAUGGAUUU